This 253-nucleotide ribosomal RNA is filed under the name uncultured Eubacteriales bacterium. Its description in RNAcentral is "uncultured Clostridiales bacterium partial 16S ribosomal RNA". It matches the Rfam family "Bacterial small subunit ribosomal RNA", at positions 524 to 776 of the family's 1533-position model. The record is from RNAcentral. Lineage: Bacteria; Bacillati; Bacillota; Clostridia; Eubacteriales.
UACGUAGGGGGCAAGCGUUAUCCGGAUUUACUGGGUGUAAAGGGAGCGUAGACGGUGAAGCAAGUCUGAAGUGAAAGGCGGGGGCUCAACCCCCGGACUGCUUUGGAAACUGUUUGACUGGAGUGCAGGAGAGGUAAGUGGAAUUCCUAGUGUAGCGGUGAAAUGCGUAGAUAUCACGAAGAACUCCGAUUGCGAAGGCAGCAUGCCGGCUUCCUACUGACGCUGAAGCACGAAAGCGUGGGGAUCGAACAGG